Molecule: ribosomal RNA, 497 nt
Filed under: uncultured bacterium
Lineage: Bacteria
Description: partial 16S ribosomal RNA
Rfam family: Bacterial small subunit ribosomal RNA
Source: RNAcentral
GAUGAACGCUGGCGGCGUGCCUAAUACAUGCAAGUCGAGCGAACAGACGAGGAGCUUGCUCCUCUGACGUUAUCGGCGGACGGGUGAGUAACACGUGGAUAACCUACCUAUAAGACUGGGAUAACUUCGGGAAACCGGAGCUAAUACCGGAUAAUAUAUUGAACCGCAUGGUUCAAUAGUGAAAGACGGUUUUGCUGUGACUUAUAGAUUGAUCCGCGCCGCAUUAGCUAGUUGGUAAGGUAACGGCUUACCAAGGCAACGAUGCGUAGCCGACCCGAGAGGGUGAUCGGACACCUGGGAACUGAGCCACGGUCCAGACUCCUACGGGAGGCAGCAGUAGGGAAUCUUACGCAAUGGGCGAAAGCCUGACGGAGCAACGCCGCGUGAGUGAUGAAGGUCUUCGGAUCGUAAAACUCUGUUAUUAGGGAAGAACAAAUGUGUAAGUAACUAUGCACGUCUUGACGGUACCUAAUCAGAAAGCCCCGGCUAACUACGUG